This 422-nucleotide ribosomal RNA is filed under the name uncultured bacterium. RNAcentral's name for it is "bacterial SSU rRNA". It matches the Rfam family "Bacterial small subunit ribosomal RNA", at positions 30 to 454 of the family's 1533-position model. The record is from RNAcentral.
AUUGAACGCUGGCGGCAUGCCUUACACAUGCAAGUCGAACGGCAGCACGGGAGCAAUCCUGGUGGCGAGUGGCGAACGGGUGAGUAAUAUAUCGGAACGUGCCCAGUCGUGGGGAUAACGUAGCGAAAGCUACGCUAAUACCGCAUACGAUCUAUGGAUGAAAGCGGGGGAUCGCAAGACCUCGCGCGAUUGGAGCGGCCGAUAUCAGAUUAGGUAGUUGGUGAGGUAAAGGCUCACCAAGCCGACGAUCUGUAGCUGGUCUGAGAGGACGAUCAGCCACACUGGGACUGAGACACGGCCCAGACUCCUACGGGAGGCAGCAGUGGGGAAUUUUGGACAAUGGGCGCAAGCCUGAUCCAGCAAUGCCGCGUGCAGGAUGAAGGCCUCGGGUUGUAACUAGCUUUGUACGGUAACGAAACGGU